This 253-nucleotide ribosomal RNA is filed under the name uncultured bacterium. RNAcentral's name for it is "partial 16S ribosomal RNA". It matches the Rfam family "Bacterial small subunit ribosomal RNA", at positions 524 to 776 of the family's 1533-position model. The record is from RNAcentral.
UACGUAGGGUCCGAGCGUUGUCCGGAAUUACUGGGCGUAAAGGGCGCGUAGGCGGAUAUCUAAGUUGGGGGUGAAAUCCCGGGGCUCAACCUCGGAAUUGCCUUCAAAACUGGAUAUCUUGAGUUCGGGAGAGGUGAGUGGAACUCCGAGUGUAGAGGUGAAAUUCGUAGAUAUUCGGAAGAACACCAGUGGCGAAGGCGACUCACUGGCCCGAUACUGACGCUGAGGCGCGAAAGCGUGGGGAGCAAACAGG